GACGAACGCUGGCGGCGUGCUUAACACAUGCAAGUCGAACGGAAAGGCCCUGCUUUUGUGGGGUGCUCGAGUGGCGAACGGGUGAGUAACACGUGAGUAACCUGCCCUUGACUUUGGGAUAACUUCAGGAAACUGGGGCUAAUACCGGAUAGGAGCUCCUGCUGCAUGGUGGGGGUUGGAAAGUUUCGGCGGUUGGGGAUGGACUCGCGGCUUAUCAGCUUGUUGGUGGGGUAGUGGCUUACCAAGGCUUUGACGGGUAGCCGGCCUGAGAGGGUGACCGGCCACAUUGGGACUGAGAUACGGCCCAGACUCCUACGGGAGGCAGCAGUGGGGAAUAUUGCACAAUGGGCGGAAGCCUGAUGCAGCAACGCCGCAAGCGGGAUGACGGCCUUCGGGUUGUAAACCGCUUUCGCCUGUGACGAAGCGUGAGUGACGGUAAUGGGUAAAGAAGCACCGGCUAACUACGUG
RNAcentral lists this ribosomal RNA (468 nucleotides) under uncultured bacterium. RNAcentral's name for it is "partial 16S ribosomal RNA". It matches the Rfam family "Bacterial small subunit ribosomal RNA", at positions 28 to 507 of the family's 1533-position model. The record is from RNAcentral.